GACGAACGCUAGCGACAGGCCUAACACAUGCAAGUCGAACGGAGUUUACAUGUGAGCGGAGGGUGCUUGCAUCUAACAAUCUUUUGUAAACUUAGUGGCGGACGGGUGAGUAACGCGUGGGUAACCUGCCGUAUACAGGGGGACAACAGUUGGAAACGACUGCUAAUACCGCAUAAGCGCACAGGACCGCAUGGUCUGGUGUGAAAAACUCCGGUGGUAUACGAUGGACCCGCGUCUGAUUAGCUAGUUGGUGAGGUAACGGCCCACCAAGGCGACGAUCAGUAGCCGGCCUGAGAGGGUGAACGGCCACAUUGGGACUGAGACACGGCCCAAACUCCUACGGGAGGCAGCAGUGGGGAAUAUUGCACAAUGGGGGAAACCCUGAUGCAGCGACGCCGCGUGAGCGAUGAAGUAUUUCGGUAUGUAAAGCUCUAUCAGCAGGGAAGAGUAAAUGACGGUACCUGACUAAGAAGCCCCGGCUAACUACGUGCCAGCAGCCG
RNAcentral lists this ribosomal RNA (500 nucleotides) under uncultured bacterium. RNAcentral describes it as "bacterial SSU rRNA". It matches the Rfam family "Bacterial small subunit ribosomal RNA", at positions 28 to 517 of the family's 1533-position model. The record is from RNAcentral.